GAAAAUGAGGAGCAUCCUCAUAGCAGGCCAGGUGUAUGAGGUCUCCCCAGCCCCGCUCACAGAGUGCUGAGCUUGGCUCACCUGCUUCCCAAACCCCCACUACUUCAAGUCCCACCUCAACACACAUCCAGCGCCAGAGUGUUCUAUCCAACCACAGUGGAUCCCUCCCUCUGCUCUAACCAGCCAUCAUGUCUCCUCAACCCAUCUCCAACAGUGUGUUUCACUGCUUUCACAGCGUUGAGGUUCUGUAGUAGAACCUCAACAUCCACAUCAUGCUUCUGAGAGUGAAACACCAUGACUCCAAA
Dicentrarchus labrax (European seabass) is the source of this 305-nucleotide long non-coding RNA. RefSeq lists it as uncharacterized. The record is from RefSeq and is a predicted model, not a curated record. NCBI's taxonomy places the organism in Eukaryota, Metazoa, Chordata, Actinopteri, Moronidae. The transcript is spliced from 3 exons.